GAACGCUGGCGGCGUGCUUAACACAUGCAAGUCGAACGAGAAAGCACCUUCGGGUGUGAUUAGAGUGGCGCACGGGUGAGUAACACGUGGGUAAUCUACCCUUAAGUUUGGGAUAACCUGUCGAAAGAUGGGCUAAUACCGGAUAAUAUCCAUUGAUGUCAGGUUGAUGGAUCAAAGGUUUACUGCUUAGGGAUGAGCCCGCGGCUGAUUAGCUAGUUGGUAGGGUAACGGCCUACCAAGGCGACGAUCAGUAGCUGGUCUGAGAGGACGAUCAGCCACACUGGGACUGAGACACGGCCCAGACUCCUACGGGAGGCAGCAGCAGGGAAUUUUGCACAAUGGGCGCAAGCCUGAUGCAGCGACGCCGCGUGGGGGAUGAAUGCCUUCGGGUUGUAAACCCCUUUCAGGAGGGACGAAGCGAAAGUGACGGUACCUCCAGAAGAAGCCCCGGCCAACUACGUGCCAGCAGCCGCGGUAAUACGUAGGGGGCGAGCGUUGUCCGGAUUUAUUGGGCGUAAAGAGCUCGUAGGCGGCUCAGCAAGUCGGCCGUGAAAGCCUGAGGCUCAACCUCAGGACGCCGGUCGAAACUGCUGUGGCUAGGGUCCGGUAGAGGAGAGUGGAAUUCCCGGUGUAGCGGUGAAAUGCGCAGAUAUCGGGAGGAACACCAGUAGCGAAGGCGGCUCUCUGGGCCGGCACCGACGCUGAGGAGCGAAAGCUAGGGGAGCAAACAGGAUUAGAUACCCUGGUAGUCCUAGCCGUAAACGUUGG
RNAcentral lists this ribosomal RNA (768 nucleotides) under uncultured bacterium. RNAcentral's name for it is "bacterial SSU rRNA". It matches the Rfam family "Bacterial small subunit ribosomal RNA", at positions 31 to 812 of the family's 1533-position model. The record is from RNAcentral.